CCUACGGGUGGCUGCAGUGGGGAAUAUUGGACAAUGGGGGGAACCCUGAUCCAGCCAUGCCGCGUGUGUGAAGAAGGCCCUCGGGUUGUAAAGCACUUUCAGUGAGGAAGAACGCCUGGUGGUUAAUACCCAUCAGGAAAGACAUCACUCACAGAAGAAGCACCGGCUAACUCCGUGCCAGCAGCCGCGGUAAUACGGAGGGUGCGAGCGUUAAUCAGAAUUACUGGGCGUAAAGCGCGCGUAGGUGGCUUGAUAAGCCGGUUGUGAAAGCCCCGGGCUCAACCUGGGAACGGCAUCCGGAACUGUCAAGCUAGAGUGCAGGAGAGGAAGGUAGAAUUCCCGGUGAGCGGUGAAAUGCGUAGAGAUCGGGAGGAAUACCAGUGGCGAAGGCGGCCUUCUGGACUGACACUGACACUGAGGUGCGAAAGCGUGGGUAGCAAACAGGAUUAGAUACCCGGGUAGUC
This 464-nucleotide ribosomal RNA is filed under the name Vreelandella stevensii. RNAcentral's name for it is "partial 16S ribosomal RNA". It matches the Rfam family "Bacterial small subunit ribosomal RNA", at positions 338 to 795 of the family's 1533-position model. Lineage: Bacteria; Pseudomonadati; Pseudomonadota; Gammaproteobacteria; Oceanospirillales; Halomonadaceae. The record is from RNAcentral.